This 492-nucleotide ribosomal RNA is filed under the name uncultured bacterium. RNAcentral describes it as "partial 16S ribosomal RNA". It matches the Rfam family "Bacterial small subunit ribosomal RNA", at positions 29 to 507 of the family's 1533-position model. The record is from RNAcentral.
AGUGAACGCUGGCGGUAGGCCUAACACAUGCAAGUCGAACGGCAGCACAGUAAGAGCUUGCUCUUACGGGUGGCGAGUGGCGGACGGGUGAGGAAUACAUCGGAAUCUACUUUUUCGUGGGGGAUAACGUAGGGAAACUUACGCUACUACCGCAUACGACCUACGGGUGAAAGCAGGGGAUCUUCGGACCUUGCGCGAUUGAAUGAGCCGAUGUCGGAUUAGCUAGUUGGCGGGGUAAAGGCCCGCCAAGGCGACGAUCCGUAGCUGGUCUGAGAGGAUUAUCAGCCACACUGGAACUGAGACACGGUCCAGACUCCUACGGGAGGCAGCAGUGGGGAAUAUUGGACAAUGGGCGCAAGCCUGAUCCAGCCAUACCGCGUGGGUGAAGAAGGCCUUCGGGUUGUAAAGCCCUUUUGUUGGGAAAGAAAAGCAGCAGGUUAAUACCCCGCUGUUCUGACGGUACCCAAAGAAUAAGCACCGGCUAACUUCGUG